GCCUGGCUGGCUCAGUUGUUGGAGUGUGCGACUCUUGAUCUCAGGGUUGUGGGUUCAAGCCCCAUGUUGGAUA
This 73-nucleotide transfer RNA is filed under the name Felis catus (domestic cat). It matches the Rfam family "tRNA". From Rfam's summary of the family: Transfer RNA (tRNA) molecules are approximately 80 nucleotides in length. Lineage: Eukaryota; Metazoa; Chordata; Mammalia; Carnivora; Felidae. The record is from Rfam by way of RNAcentral. RNAcentral also lists the same sequence under 4 other names.